GCUGGGAAUAUUGGUACAUACCUGUAACUGUGGAGAUUAAGGCUAGUAGAUUGCUUGAGUUCAGAAGUUCUGAAUUGUAGUGAGCUUAACUAAUCAGAUGCCUACACUCAGUCCAGCACAAAUAUGGUGAGCCUCAUGGGAAUGGGGAGGUCACCAGGUUGCUUAAUGAGGGACAAACUGGCCCAGGUCAGAAACAGAAAAGAUGAAAGCUCCUGUGCUCAAUAAUAGUGGGAUCAGGCCCUUGAGUAGCCAUUGCAUCUCCAGCCUGGCCAAGACCGAGUCUCAAUU
RNAcentral lists this signal recognition particle RNA (288 nucleotides) under Phascolarctos cinereus (koala). RNAcentral describes it as "Metazoan signal recognition particle RNA (ENSPCIG00000014126.2)". It matches the Rfam family "Metazoan signal recognition particle RNA". From Rfam's summary of the family: The signal recognition particle (SRP) is a universally conserved ribonucleoprotein. It is involved in the co-translational targeting of proteins to membranes. The eukaryotic SRP consists of a 300-nucleotide 7S RNA and six proteins: SRPs 72, 68, 54, 19, 14, and 9. Lineage: Eukaryota; Metazoa; Chordata; Mammalia; Diprotodontia; Phascolarctidae. The record is from Rfam by way of RNAcentral.